This is a long non-coding RNA of Mastomys coucha (southern multimammate mouse), 934 nucleotides long. RefSeq lists it as uncharacterized. The transcript is spliced from 2 exons. Lineage: Eukaryota; Metazoa; Chordata; Mammalia; Rodentia; Muridae. The record is from RefSeq and is a predicted model, not a curated record.
CUCGUCACCAGUUCAUGAUGCAGUUACGGUUCAGAGUCAUAAAGUAAACUUGGCUGCUUCCUCCAGAGCGGACUGAGGCAAAAAACACCUGGAUAAAGUAGAAAAGACAUCACCAAGGGGUAAAGAUGAAGAUAAGCAAGCAAAAGUUAAGCCCCUUGUCCCCAAACUCCAUACACACACCUGAGAUGGUGAUGAGCAAGUUGAGCCCUUCCAGGACAUCCAUUUGCUGGAAGCGUCGUCGCCCAAUUAGUCCAUACACUUUGCCCUGCCCACUUCGGUCCAGCAACAUCAGCCCAUUCUCUGUGCCCACUAGGAGGUUGACCCCUGCAACAGGAAUCCUCGGACAGGUCAGAGGCAGAUCCAGGUUGUCCCCUGACCAGGAGCAUGGAGGCUGUGCAGAGACCAUUUUCACCUCUUUCAGCCCUGGCUUACCCCAAAGAGCUGCACAGAGGAUCUCGGAAUUGAAUCGCUUCUUGUACUUGCGAAUCUCAGGAGUUUCACUAUGAGCUCGGGUGUUGGUGGGAUUGACAUUGACCACAGAGCCCUUCCUCACAUCGAAUUGCAGCUGAUCAAGACGACCACCUUCUCCACCCACUAGUGCUGCCAAAGAAGAGGAGGGAGGGUGGGCUACAGCCUCUCAGUGAUUACUUUUAUUCCUAUGCCUCUCCAUCUGAUCUUGGCACAUCAGAAUCUUCUGAAGGGGAGACUCUAGAACAGAGGUGCACUGAGAUAAGAGCGCCUGAGCUUGAGGCCAAGGCCUAGCUCAAUGCCUGUCUCCACCACUCAGCAGUUCCACCUCUGCCUGGCUCUCUCAGCCACUCUUAGCAACAGCCCCACUCCCGGUAGCCCUCCCUCGUAAUCUGUGCCAAGGCAGGGGCUAAGCCUCAAAUAAGAGGCCUGUGCUUGGACUUUUAAAAAGAUUUUUUGAAUUCUA